CCUUUGACGUUAGCGGCGGACGGGUGAGUAACACGUGGGUAACCUACCUAUAAGACUGGGAUAACUUCGGGAAACCGGAGCUAAUACCGGAUAAUAUUUCGAACCGCAUGGUUCGAUAGUGAAAGGUGGUUUUGCUAUCACUUAUAGAUGGACCCGCGCCGUAUUAGCUAGUUGGUAAGGUAACGGCUUACCAAGGCGACGAUACGUAGCCGACCUGAGAGGGUGAUCGGCCACACUGGAACUGAGACNCGGUCCAGACUCCUACGGGAGGCAGCAGAG
Molecule: ribosomal RNA, 279 nt
Filed under: uncultured Staphylococcus sp.
Lineage: Bacteria; Bacillati; Bacillota; Bacilli; Caryophanales; Staphylococcaceae
Description: partial 16S ribosomal RNA
Rfam family: Bacterial small subunit ribosomal RNA
Source: RNAcentral